GACGAACGCUGGCGGCCUGCUUAACACAUGCAAGUCGAACGGUAAGGCCCUUCGGGGUACACGAGUGGCGAACGGGUGAGUAACACGUGGGUGAUCUGCCCUGAACUUCGGGAUAAGCCUGGGAAACUGGGUCUAAUACCGGAUAGGACCACUGCCUGCAUGGGUGGUGGUGGAAAGCUUUUGCGGUGUGGGAUGGGCCCGCGGCCUAUCAGCUUGUUGGUGGGGUGAUGGCCUACCAAGGCGACGACGGGUAGCCGGCCUGAGAGGGUGACCGGCGACACUGGGACUGAGAUACGGCCCAGACUCCUACGGGAGGCAGCAGUGGGGAAUAUUGCACAAUGGGCGCAAGCCUGAUGCAGCGACGCCGCGUGAGGGAUGACGGCCUUCGGGUUGUAAACCUCUUUCAGCACCGACGAAGCGCAAGUGACGGUAGGUGCAGAAGAAGGACCGGCCAACUACGUGCCAGCCGCCGCAGUAA
Molecule: ribosomal RNA, 478 nt
Filed under: uncultured bacterium
Lineage: Bacteria
Description: partial 16S ribosomal RNA
Rfam family: Bacterial small subunit ribosomal RNA
Source: RNAcentral